CCGGAUCUCAAAUCAAGCAAGA
Molecule: ribosomal RNA, 22 nt
Filed under: Pseudo-nitzschia galaxiae
Lineage: Eukaryota; Bacillariophyta; Bacillariophyceae; Bacillariales; Bacillariaceae
Description: partial 28S ribosomal RNA
Source: RNAcentral